AUAGUGCUAGGAGUUGAAGACAGCGACUUUAACAAGGGUGCUCUUAAAAUCUAUUACCAUCUGUGCCGCCACCAUUUCUGGUCUGUAGACAUCA
RNAcentral lists this microRNA precursor (94 nucleotides) under Mus pahari (shrew mouse). Its description in RNAcentral is "microRNA 1969 (MGP_PahariEiJ_G0007109.1)". The record is from RNAcentral. Lineage: Eukaryota; Metazoa; Chordata; Mammalia; Rodentia; Muridae.